GAUUACUACCCGUUGAGCCUGACAAUCUAGCCAACUUUCUAUCCACCUUAUAGUCCAUUCAUCCAGCCCAUACUUGGAGGGUAUGGAGGAAAAGAGGAGGAAAGAGAAACAUAGCUGAGCUUUGCUGCUAUUGGCUAAUACAAGGACACAUGUUCUAAGUGUGGAAGAAGGUUCAUGUUUUAAAUUCUAGAUUAGUCUCACAGCACAUUGUGUUGAAUUUUAUCUAUAUGUAAGCAUCAGUUCUAACGACAAAGCAAUCCCUCCAGUAAUAUGAGUGGAAGUCAGAUAGGAACUCAUUGGCCUUAAAUAUCCUCUAAACGCUGAUGCUUUGGUAAUGUAUUGUUCUUAAAAGUCAAGUGGUUGCUUAUGGCAAGUUUUGUUGUUUUGUUUUUGCCAUCAGUUGAAGCUCUUUGACUGUAGCUGAGUAGGCCUAGAAGCAUGGGUGCGGUUAGAUGAGCCAUCCAUUAAAAGAAAACUUGAUCUAAUUGUGAAAAAUACAUGAACCAUUUAGAAAUGUUAAAUAUAAUUUUAAAAUGGCUGAAAAACUGAGACGUCAGUAGCUUGUCUUUCUGAUGGUGCAGUGUCUGACGGUAGCAGAGUUAGCUGUCUCUGGAGUAGCAGGGAUCUGGGAGAUCUCACAGUUGGUUUUAAGGUAAGCCCUAAUAUUUUUUUUUGCUUGAGUCUCACAUUGGUCCAAUAUGAAGAAUACUUAAAAAUUUUCUCCAUACUGUUUUUCUAUAAGUAAUAGAAUUUACUUUUUAAAAAAACCUGAGCACCUCCUACUUGCCUUUUGCAUUUAGCUGAGCAAUGCUCCGGUGUGUGAUCCUGUCGUAAUGGAAUGACUGACUAGCUGGGAAGUAACAGCAAAAUCCAUCACUUCCUUGAGUCAAAAGAACCAUUUGCAGGUGUGGAGUUACUGAAACAAUGACAGGUAUUUCUAACUGUUCUCAAAACUCACUGUAGACAUGCACAGUAAUCCCCACACCCCGUAAUUAGAAUGGUUCUUCACUACUCAAUGUAGAUUUAAGAGUAGAGGUCUAGUAUUACUAAGACUUCAUUAGGCUUUCAAAACACACAAUAGAACACAUUUACAAGUGUAUAUAUUAUGAAAUAUCAUGAAUAAUUACAACUAAUAUAGAAUUGUUAGAUAAAGUACAAUUUAGGAUGCCCUCUCCUUGCUAUUUCUUAUUGACUGCUUACUAAUGUAUAAUAUUCAGCCCUUCACAGUGGGUCUCCUGGUCACUCCCUUGCAAGUGUCCGUCAGCCAACUUCUUGUCUGUCGCUGGGGAAGCCCUGCCCAUUCUGGAGUCAAAGGUCUCUUGCUGCUGCCCCCAGCGCUGGUUUCCCGUACACUUGUGGAGACAGCCUGGGAUUCCUCACUGAGGAGAGGUCAGACGUCAUCCAUUGUGACAGGGAGCUGCUGUCCAUCAGCAGUGCAUGUCCUUCCUUCUCUUCUGAACAAAAAGGGAGCCAGCUGGGGUCAGCUGUCCAUCUGUUGGCUUAGUUUUGACUCCUCAGUGUUAUCUACUUGUCUGCUCCCCAGUCUUGGAUGCACAUCAUAGUGAUAUACAUUAUGGAGUGAACUUUCAGAACCCCGAUGAGUCCUGGAAAAAGCCCACAAUGGAGUGUGAGGUAGAAUAUGGAGGUGAAUGCAUGACAGUGGUUCUCAGAUAUUUCCUGUUUUGCUCUGCACUGAGCUAAAUGAGUGUAAGAGGUCCUUCCAGUUGGAGGUCUACCGAGCUUGCUGAGUCUCUGCAGGAGAUAUUGGACCCCAUUGCUACUGCUACAGGACCGCUUAGAGUAAAGGUCUAACAAGACACUCUUUCCUCAUUGUUCAGGUUCUGCCUAAGCUUGCUGGAGGCUGAGCAGCCUAGAAGUUCUAGGGCUAGAUGGCAAACUUGCAUCCUGUGGAAAGGGGUCUCUCCCAGGAGAAGCCGGUGGAGUUGCUCAGCCAUUAGUAGUGUAGUGAUAUGGAAUGUGUUAUUUCACAGGAAUAAAUUCCUUCUGAUCAGACGGACACAAAACUGGCAAUCUGUACAAACUCAAAAGAAUCCAUUUUCAGAAAAAUAAAUUACUAAGGGGAGAGGAGGGACCAUUUCUCAAUAAAUAUGCAAUUCUGCUCACCUAAGACCUUGAAAGGUAAUUAUCUGGGGAUGGGAUUCUAAUGUUGGGGUCCACAAAGGUUAUUCUAAAUACAUCUGCAGCCCCAAGCCUCCCCAAGCUCCCUUCCACCCUAAAAAAAUCCCACACCCAUCCAAGCUGUAGGUUUGGCUGCUUCUGCUCAUCUAGGCGCACCUGUGUUGAGAGUGUCAAAAAUAUGUCCUUGUGCCCCAAGUCCCAGGUGCUUGGAGUGUGAAAGAAAACAGUUCUAGGGUUCCACCUUU
Molecule: long non-coding RNA, 2384 nt
Organism: Chelonia mydas (Green sea turtle)
Lineage: Eukaryota; Metazoa; Chordata; Testudines; Cheloniidae
Exons: 2
Source: RefSeq, a predicted model, not a curated record